UACGGAGGCAGCAGUGGGGAAUAUUGCACAAUGGGCGGAAGCCUGAUGCAGCAACGCCGCGUGCGGGAUGACGGCCUUCGGGUUGUAAACCGCUUUCGCCUGUGACGAAGCGUGAGUGACGGUAAUGGGUAAAGAAGCACCGGCUAACUACGUGCCAGCAGCCGCGGUAAU
This 171-nucleotide ribosomal RNA is filed under the name uncultured bacterium. Its description in RNAcentral is "partial 16S ribosomal RNA". It matches the Rfam family "Bacterial small subunit ribosomal RNA", at positions 340 to 524 of the family's 1533-position model. The record is from RNAcentral.